Molecule: microRNA, 22 nt
Filed under: Strongylocentrotus purpuratus (purple sea urchin)
Lineage: Eukaryota; Metazoa; Echinodermata; Echinoidea; Camarodonta; Strongylocentrotidae
Also listed under: 2 other names
Description: Spu-Mir-2009_3p (mature (guide))
Source: RNAcentral
UGAGUUGUCCCACAAAGAACAC